This 1441-nucleotide ribosomal RNA is filed under the name metagenome. RNAcentral describes it as "bacterial LSU rRNA". It matches the Rfam family "Bacterial large subunit ribosomal RNA", at positions 1505 to 2925 of the family's 2925-position model. The record is from RNAcentral.
CCCUGGGGUAAGCAUGUAGGGAGCGAGGUAGGUAAAUCCGCCUCGUAUAUAUCCUGAGAUGUGAUGCCGAGCCGAUUGUGGUGAAGUGGAUGAUCCUAUGCUGCCGAGAAAAGCCUCUAGUGAGUGUUGUGGCGGCCCGUACCCUAAACCGACUCAGGUGGUCAGGUAGAGAAUACCAAGGCGAUCGGGUGAACUGUGGUUAAGGAACUCGGCAAAUUGCCCCCGUAACUUCGGGAGAAGGGGGACCUCUGCUGGUGAUGGGCUUUACGUUCUGAGCUGGUGGGGGUCGCAGUGGCCAGGGGGAAGCGACUGUUUACUAAAAACACAGGUCCGUGCGAAGUCGUAAGACGAUGUAUACGGACUGACGCCUGCCCGGUGCCGGAACGUUAAGGGGACCGCUUAGCCAACGCGAGUUGGCGAAGGUGAGAACUUAAGCGCCGGUAAACGGCGGUGGUAACUAUAACCAUCCUAAGGUAGCGAAAUUCCUUGUCGGGUAAGUUCCGACCUGCACGAAUGGCGUAACGACUUCCCCGCUGUCUCAACCACAGACCCGGCGAAAUUGCACUACGAGUAAAGAUGCUCGUUUCGCGCAGCAGGACGGAAAGACCCCGGGACCUUCACUACAGCUUGACAUUGGCGUUUGGAACGUCUUGUGUAGGAUAGGUGGGAGACUGGGAAGCUGUCACGCUAGUGAUGGUGGAGUCAUUGGUGAAAUACCACUCUGGUCGUUUUGAACGUCUAACUCUGGUCCGUGAUCCGGAUCGGGGACAGUGUCUGGUGGGUAGUUUAACUGGGGCGGUUGCCUCCUAAAGAGUAACGGAGGCGCCCAAAGGUUCCCUCAGCCUGGUUGGCAAUCAGGUGUUGAGUGUAAGUGCACAAGGGAGCUUGACUGUGAGACUGACAGGUCGAGCAGGAGCGAAAGCUGGGACUAGUGAUCCGGCAUCGGCGUGUGGAAGCGGUGUCGCUCAACGGCUAAAAGGUACCCCGGGGAUAACAGGCUGAUCUUCCCCAAGAGUCCAUAUCGACGGGAUGGUUUGGCACCUCGAUGUCGGCUCGUCGCAUCCUGGGGCUGGAGUAGUCCCAAGGGUUGGGCUGUUCGCCCAUUAAAGCGGUACGCGAGCUGGGUUUAGAACGUCGCGAGACAGUUCGGUCCCUAUCCGCUGCGCGCGCAGGAGACUUGAAGGGGGCUGUCCCUAGUACGAGAGGACCGGGACGGACGAACCUCUGGUGUGCCAGUUGUACCGCCAGGUGCACGGCUGGUUGGCUACGUUCGGAAGGGAUAACCGCUGAAAGCAUCUAAGCGGGAAGCUCGCCUUGAGAUGAGGUCUCCCACCCCGUGAGGGGGUAAGGCUCCCGGUAGAUCACCGGGUUGAUAGGCCGGAGGUGGAAGCACGGUAACGUGUGGAGCUGACCGGUACUAAUAGGCCGAGGACUUGACCAC